AAACCUUUCUAGGUGGCAGAUUAAAAAUCAGGUAUGUGAGGCUCAGCUAUGAGUGUUGUGGAAAAAUAAUCCUGGUUUUUCUAGCGCACGCGAGAAAGAAAUGCAGGCAGGAUCAGAAAAGGGAGCGAUGGCUUCAGUGAUGGAACAGAGAUGCAUAGAUCAUCAAGACCUGCUUGAGGCAAACCAAUCUGUGUCUUCCAGAGCAGGAGUAAGAAAUAAGGCUGCUGCAAUCAAUCUCAACUCAACUUGUUCCUGAAAAUUGAAAAUAAUCUAUUGUGUAUCUGAACCUGGACACACCUGUACACAACAAAGUGAACCUCAGUUCUGCAUGUCUAGGUAUGAUCUCUAAUAUAGUGUAAAACCUGAUAUGUCUAGUUAACAUUAAGUGUGGAUACAGGUCUUGCAUAAAUACUGUGGAUUUUUUUUUUUUAAUUUUUUAUUUUAGGGAUUUCAUUUUUACCUUCCAUUACUUGCAUAAAAACUUGUUGCUGUGAGGGUAACCAGUGUUUGGUGUGACUCAUCAUAG
This 526-nucleotide long non-coding RNA is filed under the name Cyanistes caeruleus (blue tit). RNAcentral's name for it is "lncRNA (ENSCCEG00000005190.1)". The record is from RNAcentral. Lineage: Eukaryota; Metazoa; Chordata; Aves; Passeriformes; Paridae.